AUGAACGCUGGCGGCGUGCCUAAUACAUGCAAGUCGAGCGAACGGACGAGAAGCUUGCUUCUCUGAUGUUAGCGGCGGACGGGUGAGUAACACGUGGAUAACCUACCUAUAAGACUGGGAUAACUUCGGGAAACCGGAGCUAAUACCGGAUGAUAUUUUGAACCGCAUGGUUCAAAAGUGAAAGACGGUCUUGCUGUCACUUAUAGAUGGAUCCGCGCUGCAUUAGCUAGUUGGUAAGGUAACGGCUUACCAAGGCAACGAUGCAUAGCCGACCUGAGACGGUGAUCGGCCACACUGGAACUGAGACACGGUCCAGACUCCUACGGGAGGCAGCAGUAGGGAAUCUUCCGCAAUGGGCGAAAGCCUGACGGAGCAACGCCGCGUGAGUGAUGAAGGUCUUCGGAUCGUAAAACUCUGUUAUUAGGGAAGAACAUAUGUGUAAGUAACUGUGCACAUCUUGACGGUACCUAAUCAGAAAGCCACGGCUAACUACGUG
This 496-nucleotide ribosomal RNA is filed under the name uncultured bacterium. RNAcentral describes it as "partial 16S ribosomal RNA". It matches the Rfam family "Bacterial small subunit ribosomal RNA", at positions 29 to 507 of the family's 1533-position model. The record is from RNAcentral.